RNAcentral lists this ribosomal RNA (429 nucleotides) under Acidobacteriota bacterium. RNAcentral describes it as "Acidobacteria bacterium partial 16S ribosomal RNA". It matches the Rfam family "Bacterial small subunit ribosomal RNA", at positions 355 to 776 of the family's 1533-position model. Lineage: Bacteria; Pseudomonadati; Acidobacteriota. The record is from RNAcentral.
UAGGGAAUCUUCCACAAUGGACGAAAGUCUGAUGGAGCAACGCCGCGUGAACGAUGAAGGCCCUCGGGUCGUAAAGUUCUGUUGUAAGGGAAGAACAAGUGCCGCAGGCAAUGGCGGCACCUUGACGGUACCUUGCGAGAAAGCCACGGCUAACUACGUGCCAGCAGCCGCGGUAAUACGUAGGUGGCAAGCGUUGUCCGGUAUUAUUGGGCGUAAAGCGCGCGCAGGCGGCCUCUUAAGUCUGAUGUGAAAGCCCCCGGCUCAACCGGAGAGGGCCAUUGGAAACUGGGAGGCUUGAGUAUAGGAGAGAAGAGUGGAAUUCCACGUGUAGCGGUGAAAUGCGUAGAGAUGUGGAGGAACACCAGUGGCGAAGGCGACUCUUUGGCCUAUAACUGACGCUGAGGCGCGAAAGCGUGGGGAGCAAACAGG